GCCCCGGUAAACGGCGGCCGUAACUAUAACGGUCCUAAGGUAGCGAAAUUCCUUGUCGGGUAAGUUCCGACCUGCACGAAUGGCGUAAUGAUGGCCAGGCUGUCUCCACCCGAGACUCAGUGAAAUUGAACUCGCUGUGAAGAUGCAGUGUACCCGCGGCAAGACGGAAAGACCCCGUGAACCUUUACUAUAGCUUGACACUGAACAUUGAGCCUUGAUGUGUAGGAUAGGUGGGAGGCUUUGAAGUGUGGACGCCAGUCUGCAUGGAGCCGACCUUGAAAUACCACCCUUUAAUGUUUGAUGUUCUAACGUUGGCCCGUAAUCCGGGUUGCGGACAGUGUCUGGUGGGUAGUUUGACUGGGGCGGUCUCCUCCUAAAGAGUAACGGAGGAGCACGAAGGUUGGCUAAUCCUGGUCGGACAUCAGGAGGUUAGUGCAAUGGCAUAAGCCAGCUUGACUGCGAGCGUGACGGCGCGAGCAGGUGCGAAAGCAGGUCAUAGUGAUCCGGUGGUUCUGAAUGGAAGGGCCAUCGCUCAACGGAUAAAAGGUACUCCGGGGAUAACAGGCUGAUACCGCCCAAGAGUUCAUAUCGACGGCGGUGUUUGGCACCUCGAUGUCGGCUCAUCACAUCCUGGGGCUGAAGUAGGUCCCAAGGGUAUGGCUGUUCGCCAUUUAAAGUGGUACGCGAGCUGGGUUUAGAACGUCGUGAGACAGUUCGGUCCCUAUCUGCCGUGGGCGCUGGAGAACUGAGGGGGGCUGCUCCUAGUACGAGAGGACCGG
This 779-nucleotide ribosomal RNA is filed under the name Escherichia coli. RNAcentral describes it as "partial 23S ribosomal RNA". It matches the Rfam family "Bacterial large subunit ribosomal RNA", at positions 1917 to 2695 of the family's 2925-position model. Lineage: Bacteria; Pseudomonadati; Pseudomonadota; Gammaproteobacteria; Enterobacterales; Enterobacteriaceae. The record is from RNAcentral.